Molecule: long non-coding RNA, 1185 nt
Filed under: Salmo salar (Atlantic salmon)
Lineage: Eukaryota; Metazoa; Chordata; Actinopteri; Salmoniformes; Salmonidae
Description: lncRNA (ENSSSAG00000090840.1)
Source: RNAcentral
GAGAGAGAAAGAGGUGGAGAGAGAGAGAGAGAGAGAGAGAGAUCCUGUUAUGUGGCUACACUGUUUUGACGUAAAGGUACUGUAGAGAUAGUGAUGAUGAUGACACUGUGUUGCUGUACAGCUUGUUCUCCUGAUGUGACUCCCAGCCAGACUUCAGUAUCAGACACAAUGUCCCAGACUGUAUCAGACGUAUGUUGACUGAGAGAGAAAACAGUCUUUGACCUGCUGGACUUUUAGUAAAUACUGAGUGCGCUCAGGAAACAUGUCUGGAGCCAUCACAUGAAGACUUCCAAGAUGAUGUGAUGAAGUCCAGACUGACUCGAUACUGACGUCUCUGAACGGAGAAAGGCCUGGAUCAGGAACUCCUGCUGUACACGGUACACCACCCAGGAAGGUAUGACCACUGACAUGUUACCAUGGUAGCCCCAUUACCACCACCCAGGAAGGUAUGACCACUGACAUGUUACCAUGGUAACCUCAUUACCACCACCCAGGAAGGUAUGACCACUCUGACAUGUUACCAUGGUAACCCCAUUACCACCACCCAGGAAGGUAUGACCACUCUGACAUGUUACCAUGGUAACCCCAUUACCAACACCCAGGAAGGUAUGACCACUCUGACAUGUUACCAUGGUAACCCCAUUACCACCACCCAGGAAGGUAUGACCACUCUGACAUGUUACCAUGGUAACCCCAUUAAGGGUUAAGGUUAGGGUUAUCCCUGAGAUAGCCUCUAAGGGUUAAGGUUAGGGUUAUCCCUGAGAUACACUCUAAGGAUUAGGGUUAUCCCUGAGAGAGCCUCUAAGGGUUAGGGUUAUCCCUGAGAGCCUCUAAGGGUUAGGGUUAUCCCUGAGAGAGCCUCUAAGGGUUAGGGUUAUCCCUGAGAGAGCCUCUAAGGGUUAGGGUUAUCCCUGAGAGCCUCUAAGGGUUAGGGUUAUCCCUGAGAGCCUCUAAGGAUUAGGGUUAUCCCUGAGAUAGCCUCUAAGGGUUAGGGUUAUCCCUGAGAUAGCCUCUAAGGAUUAGGGUUAUCCCUGAGAGCCUCUAAGGAUUAGGGUUAUCCCUGAGAGCCUCUAAUGAUUAGGGUUAUCCCUGAGAGCCUCUAAGGAUUAGGGUUAUCCUUGAGAGAGCCUCUAAGGGUUAGGGUUAUCCCUGAGAGAGCCUCUAAGGGUUAGGGUUGUCCCUGAG